UACGUAGGGUGCAAGCGUUGUCCGGAAUUAUUGGGCGUAAAGGGCUCGUAGGCGGUCCAUCACGUCGGGAGUGAAAAGCUGGGGCUUAACCCCAGUCCUGCUUCCGAUACGGGUGGACUAGAGGUAGGCAGGGGAGAACGGAAUUCCUGGUGUAGCGGUGAAAUGCGCAGAUAUCAGGAGGAACACCGAUAGCGAAGGCAGCUUACUGGGCUGUAACUGACGCUGAGGCACGAAAGUGUGGGGAUCAAACAGG
Molecule: ribosomal RNA, 253 nt
Filed under: uncultured bacterium
Lineage: Bacteria
Description: partial 16S ribosomal RNA
Rfam family: Bacterial small subunit ribosomal RNA
Source: RNAcentral